RNAcentral lists this unclassified non-coding RNA (353 nucleotides) under soil metagenome. RNAcentral's name for it is "partial contains 5.8S ribosomal RNA, internal transcribed spacer 2, and large subunit ribosomal RNA". The stretch from base 1 to 120 matches the Rfam family "5.8S ribosomal RNA", at positions 35 to 154 of the family's 154-position model. The record is from RNAcentral.
GAUGAAGAACGUAGCGAAAUGCGAUAGGUAAUGUGAAUUGCAGAAUUCAGUGAAUCAUCGAAUCUUUGAACGCACAUUGCGCCCGCCAGUAUUCUGGCGGGCAUGCCUGUUCGAGCGUCAUUACAACCCUCAGGCCCCCGGGCCUGGCGUUGGGGAUCGGCGGAAGCCCCCUGCGGGCACAACGCCGUCCCCCAAAUACAGUGGCGGUCCCGCCGCAGCUUCCAUUGCGUAGUAGCUAACACCUCGCAACUGGAGAGCGGCGCGGCCACGCCGUAAAACACCCAACUUCUGAAUGUUGACCUCGAAUCAGGUAGGAAUACCCGCUGAACUUAAGCAUAUCAAUAAGCGGAGGA